This 692-nucleotide ribosomal RNA is filed under the name uncultured bacterium. Its description in RNAcentral is "bacterial SSU rRNA". It matches the Rfam family "Bacterial small subunit ribosomal RNA", at positions 34 to 743 of the family's 1533-position model. The record is from RNAcentral.
CGGUUAGCGGUGUGCCUAUGCAUGCAAGUCGAACGUGAUCCCUUAGAUUCGUCUGAGGGUGAAAGUGGCGAACGGGUGAGUAACACGUUGGUGACCUGCCCCAGAGAUAGGGAUAACCAUUGGAAACGAUGGCUAAUACCUUAGAUGUCAUUACUAUUAGAAGGUAAUGACUAAAGCUCCGGCGCUCUGGGAGGGGCCUGCGUACCAUCAGCUAGUUGGUGAGGUAAUGGCUCACCAAGGCAAGGACGGUUAGGGGGCGUGAGAGCGUGACCCCCCACACUGGUACUGAUACACGGACCAGAUACCUACGGGUAGCAGCAGCAAGGAAUAUUGCGCAAUGGACGAAAGUCUGACGCAGCAACACCGCGUGGAGGAUGAAGGCCUUCGGGUCGUAAACUCCUUUUCUGAGGGAAGAGAAAGGACGGUACCUCAGGAAUAAGUCUCGGCUAACUACGUGCCAGCAGCCGCGGUAAAACGUAGGAGGCGAACGUUAUCCGGAUUUACUGGGCGUAAAGCGCAUGCAGGCGGUUUCUUAAGUCGGAUGUGAGAGCUCCUGGCUCAACUGGGAGAGGUCAUUCGAAACUGGGGAACUUGAGGAUGGUAGAGGAGAGUGGAAUUCCCGGUGUAGUGGUGAAAUGCGUAGAUAUCGGGAGGAACGCCAGUGGCGAAGCGGCUCUCUGGGCUAUUCCUGA